RNAcentral lists this ribosomal RNA (396 nucleotides) under uncultured bacterium. Its description in RNAcentral is "partial 16S ribosomal RNA". It matches the Rfam family "Bacterial small subunit ribosomal RNA", at positions 360 to 773 of the family's 1533-position model. The record is from RNAcentral.
AAUUUUGGACAAUGGGCGCAAGCCUGAUCCAGCCAUGCCGCGUGAGUGAUGAAGGCCUUAGGGUUGUAAAGCUCUUUCAGUGGGGAAGAUAAUGACGGUACCCACAGAAGAAGCCCCGGCUAACUUCGUGCCAGCAGCCGCGGUAAUACGAAGGGGGCUAGCGUUGUUCGGAUUUACUGGGCGUAAAGCGCACGUAGGCGGAUUAUUAAGUCAGGGGUGAAAUCCCGCAGCUCAACUGCGGAACUGCCUUUGAUACUGGUAAUCUAGAGACCGAGAGAGGUAAGUGGAACUCCUAGUGUAGAGGUGGAAUUCGUAGAUAUUAGGAAGAACACCAGUGGCGAAGGCGGCUUACUGGCUCGGAACUGACGCUGAGGUGCGAAAGCGUGGGGAGCAAAC